GACGCAGUGGCCUAAUGAAUGGUCUGCGCGUUGGACUCCGGAUCGAGCGGUCUGGGUUCGAGCCCAGACCUGGGUCA
Molecule: non-coding RNA, 77 nt
Organism: Desmophyllum pertusum
Lineage: Eukaryota; Metazoa; Cnidaria; Anthozoa; Scleractinia; Caryophylliidae
Source: the annotation of a GenBank genome assembly